RNAcentral lists this ribosomal RNA (492 nucleotides) under uncultured bacterium. Its description in RNAcentral is "partial 16S ribosomal RNA". It matches the Rfam family "Bacterial small subunit ribosomal RNA", at positions 29 to 507 of the family's 1533-position model. The record is from RNAcentral.
AGUGAACGCUGGCGGUAGGCCUAACACAUGCCAGUCGAACGGCAGCACAGUAAGAGCUUGCUCUUACGGGUGGCGAGUGGCGGACGGGUGAGGCAUACAUCGGAAUCUACUUUUUCGUGGGGGAUAACGUAGGGAAACUUACGCUAAUACCGCAUACGACCUACGGGUGAAAGCAGGGGAUCUUCGGACCUUGCGCGAUUGAAUGAGCCGAUGUCGGAUUAGCUAGUUGGCGGGGUAAAGGCCCACCAAGGCGACGAUCCGUAGCUGGUCUGAGAGGAUGAUCAGCCACACUGGAACUGAGACACGGUCCAGACUCCUACGGGAGGCAGCAGUGGGGAAUAUUGGACAAUGGGCGCAAGCCUGAUCCAGCCAUACCGCGUGGGUGAAGAAGGCCUUCGGGUUGUAAAGCCCUUUUGUUGGGAAAGAAAAGCAGCAGGUUAAUACCCCGCUGUUCUGACGGUACCCAAAGAAUAAGCACCGGCUAACUUCGUG